Long non-coding RNA from Lolium rigidum, 556 nucleotides. RefSeq lists it as uncharacterized. The transcript is spliced from 3 exons. The record is from RefSeq and is a predicted model, not a curated record. NCBI's taxonomy places the organism in Eukaryota, Viridiplantae, Streptophyta, Magnoliopsida, Poales, Poaceae.
UGGCGAAGGCACGGCGGAGCUCAAGUGGCGACGGUGGCUGGAGGAUAUCCAUUCGCGGUGGAGAUGGAGCUCCAAUCGGGUGCUGGUGCUGCAUCGCCCGAGCUUGAGCUCAAAAUGGGGAUUUUUCAUCCGCCCGAGCUUGAGCUCAAAGUGGUGGCGGCGGCGGAGGUCCAAUUGUGUGGUUCUGCUGCAGAAGCUGGAGGCGGACAAGAGGGAGGGGGUCUACGUGGUGGACGGGGAAGGCAACCUGGACGGCCUCACGACGCUCGGGGAUCCAGGUUCGCCAAGCUCGUCUACUAGCUGCCGCUGUACUUCAAUGGCGUCAUCCCAAUGCCGUAUGUUCUGCUUGCUGCAAAGCUUCAGUACUCCUACUCCAGGAUAAAGAGGUGGAUGGAUGGAUGGAGAGGAAGGAAUGAAGAAGAUGAUGGUCUGCUAGCUGACGUCAUGCCCCUCGGUACCCGCGAUGCAUUCUGAUCCAGGGAAGAGCUUUCGGAAGAUUUAGACAAAUGUGCAGCCUUUGGCGUCUUCAUAUUCGUUUGAUGUUCAGUCACUGCAG